This 348-nucleotide long non-coding RNA is filed under the name Populus tremula. RNAcentral describes it as "long non-coding RNA (PTRE_LNC000808)". Lineage: Eukaryota; Viridiplantae; Streptophyta; Magnoliopsida; Malpighiales; Salicaceae. The record is from RNAcentral.
UUUGUUUUCCUUAUGUAGCUUUUAAAACUACGAAGAUGAUGCCGGCCUGCUGUGAGUUUUUUUUUAUUGAUUUCGAGUCUUUCCUGUUUUUUUCUUUGAGAUUGUGUUUGGGAAGAAAAACUUUUGAUCUCUGCUUUCGAAUUCCCCUGUUCUGGACGAAGACUAUGAGGGUAAGUAAGGGUCCUGGUGCUGCGGGUUGGUUGGACCCAAGCUUUCUCUGGUUCUCGCCCCUGUUUCCUCCUUGUGUUCUUCUCUCUGUUUUGUUCUCUGGUCUCUCUCUAUCUACUCCCUGUCUAUUCCUUUGUUUAUUUUUUUCGUUUCUGUUCUCUGAGAAGAAACAAGGAAAAC